AAUGUAGAGAUCACCCAUCUUCUGCAUCGAUCACACUGGGAACUGCAGACCAGAGCUGUUCCUAUUCGGCCAUCUUGAUCCUACUUCCGAAUGUGAGAUAUUUUUGUAGUGAUUGAAAUUGAGCAGUUAUUAUAGAACUAGUAAUGUCUUGAGUCUUUCAUUCCCUUCAAGUGUGUAACCAAAAAUUAUAAUAUUCUAGCAUGCAGCCUGAUUGUAAAGGAAUGGAAAAGUCCUAUCCAAAGGUUUCAUCCAUCUCUGAAUAUUUAUGAUGAGGGACACUUUGGUUUCAUAUGAGCCAAGGAGCCCCAGCCAUAAACAGAACUCCUGAGAACAACCUUGCAUUGGUCACAAGAAUAAUCUUAUGAUGUCAGGAUCAUGCCAGUUUUACACAUGAGGAGCAGUGGCACAGGAAGAUAAAGACCCCAUGAUGAGGAGUGGGGGUUGAUGGAGAGACAUAUUCAAGAGAUUUAUAUUCAAAGAAGCAACCAAGAUUCAGAAAGAUGGGGUUGAUAAUUGUUUACUUCACCCUGGGAGGCAGCAUAGUGCAGUGAAAGGUGAGGGCUCAUGCGUCAGAUAUACUUGGGUUUUGAAUAUCAGUCCUGUCUAUGCCAUGGUACCAAGCCUGUGUCUCACCUGUAAUGUGGACGUGACUCCUAUCUCAUGGGAUGUCUAUGCAGAUUGAUUGAUAUAAUAUGUAACAUUGAUAAAAUUGCCAGGUUGGUUGCCCCUUUUUCUUCCCCACAAGGUCAGGGAGAUGAGCCAUACUGAAGCAUUCAUGGAGAGCUGAGGUCAGGCGGAGGGACAUUGUAUCUGAUUUUCAACCCAAGUAGAAAUCUGUCUAGGGUCAAAAUUUAUAAUGAGUCACAUAGGCCAGAAGAAGUGGUUGCAGAGGCAACAACUGCACUAGGAACUUUGACUAUAAAAUGACUUAAAGAUUGACCAGUACAAGAAGAGUGGAAAAGAAAAUCAGAGUGUGAGGCCAGGUGUGGUGACUCACGCCUAAAAUCCCAGCACUU
This is a long non-coding RNA of Cercocebus atys (sooty mangabey), 1016 nucleotides long. RefSeq lists it as uncharacterized. The transcript has 3 exons. The record is from RefSeq and is a predicted model, not a curated record. Lineage: Eukaryota; Metazoa; Chordata; Mammalia; Primates; Cercopithecidae.